RNAcentral lists this long non-coding RNA (416 nucleotides) under Mytilus galloprovincialis (Mediterranean mussel). Lineage: Eukaryota; Metazoa; Mollusca; Bivalvia; Mytilida; Mytilidae. The record is from RNAcentral.
AAGAAUAAGAGGGGACAUGAUUGAAACCUAUAAGAUCAUACACAAUAAAUAUGACCCGGAAACUAGUACUUUCCUAAAACUGAUGUCGAGCACAGAGAAUAGGCACAGUACUAGAACUAAUAGCAGUAAAAUCGUUCAUCAAAGGUUUAAUACUAAUCUUAGGAAAAAUAGUUUUACGGUGAGAAUAUCAAAAACCUGGAACAAACUACCAGAAAAAGUGGUUAAGGCACCGUCUGUUAAUGCCUUUAAAAACAGACUUGACAAUCACUGGAAAAACGAGGAAUUAUAUUAUUCUGAUUACCGCGCAGUUAUAACCGGAAGCAGCAGUAACAGUAAUAAUUACGACAUAAUAUAUGAGUCUGGUGAAGAGGAGCCGUGAGGAUCCUGUACCGGAAAACAUCUUUAAGUAUCUUUAA